AACCCUGCUGGGAGUGACAGGAUUUCUUUUUGUGCGCGGAGCAGCAUCCCGAGGGACGUCCGAAUCGUCUUCCACGUUCAGUCUGAAAACUGCAAUACGGUUUUCUUUGAGUUUUCUGUGUCACAUUUUCUUUAUUGCCUGAACCCUGUAAAUUAAUUCCCCCGUCUCUCGUGACCAGGUACAGCGGGCCUGAACGGCACGGCGGAAUGGGGGUGUUGGACGCAGGCGCCUCAACGGCCAAGCAACAGAAUUGCCAUUCAUUUUAAUUGCAUUGAGGCCUCAGUUUUGUCCUCUUAAAGUUAAAUGCCUGUGUGAAUGUGCAAGCUGACGCGUACAGCCUACCCUGCAGCCAGGAUAGAUCGUGGUCAUCACUCACCAAGGGCAUUAUGCUUGUCUUUUUAAAAGCAAGUUAGAAGGCAGCAAAAAAGGCAGCAAAAAGGUCUCAAACCUAGAAAAUGGUUUUUGAUAUGGCAUGUUAUCACACAGAUGAUCCCAAAUAUUACAGUAACCAUUUCUGAAGGUGACAGAUGCAGAAAGACCUUCAUGGAUAACAACCGUUGUGUCCUAGAAGAAGGAACAUGCAUCCUUGAGACAAAAAGUCCAUUUAUUCAACAUUUACUAUGAAAUACAGUUUUUGAAAUACACCACCUGCCAUGCGUGUGAGAUAGCAGAAAAGGAAGAGGUUGAAGAACUUGCAGACAAGACAAAAACCAAGUCUCAAAGAUCACUUCUUGUCCUCUCCAGCAUGCCAGGAUGGAUGUGUGAUCCAGAAAGGUUCUAAAAGCCUUGACCCAGUGCCUGAGAAGUUGUGCACAGGAGAAAAGGAUGGGAGGGUGUCCUGGGGUGACUGGUUACCCAGAAUGGGAUUGUGAGUUGUGAUUGUUACAAGUGAAAUAGCAUGUUCCCACCCUGCAGAUAUCAUUUGUUUGGGUUUUUUUGAUCAAAGACUUAGGAGAAAUACACAGUCCUUAAAGAAUACAGGGCCUAUUGCUUUUUUGUGUUUCAUUUAGACGUCAUAUCCCAGUGAUUCAGAAGGCUCUGCUCUUCAUCAUAGAAAUCAGGAUCUAAGAUUCAGGAAUAAUUAAAUGCAGGCUUCUCCUAUUUCACAUGCUUUUUAACUUUAUAACUUCGGGUCAGUUUGGGUUUUAAGGAAAGAAGAAUGGCUUUGUCUUCCACAGCUUCAAGUCAUUUAUUUCUGGUUUGGUUUUAUUUUCUCCUUCUCUUCAUUUUAAAUAUCAAAUACAAUAGAAAAGGCUUUCAUUUAGAUGCUUUGUGCAAUUUUUGACUUCAGGAAAUAAUAAAUUUGUUUUAUCCAAACUGUACACCCUAAAUAACAAAUAUAUAACAUCACAUUCAUAAGGUAGAAUAAGAAAACUUAAAUCUUACAUUUUAAAUCAGAUUCUUAGUAUAGUUAAGUAGGACUUCUUAACCUUUUAAUUCUUAGAGCUUGAGACUACUAACAAAUCUAUUGCUUCCAAAAGCAGCCAAAGGAGAUUUGGCCACAAGCUGUCAAAACAAGAAAUUAUCACAUCUAGAAGUAUCUGCUUUCUUUGUGUACGUUUGUUGAGUAGAUGGAGAACUAAAAUAUUAGUGAAAUAACUGCAUUUUUCAAACCACUAUUCAAAUUAUUAUUAACAUAAAAACCUUUACUGUUUUGAGUGAUGAUUGGCAGAAAGUCAUAGAAAGAAAAUGCAUGGCAGACUAUUAGCAUGUUCACUUCUCAUUAAAGAUGUAAAGGAUAAAAAAAUUCUAAAAAUACAACCAGUAACAUUUUACUUCUAAAACAAUGAAAUGCGGAAGAAAAGGCUUUUUCAAUGGGAGAAGCUCUGAAUAGAAGCUGGUAGAGCCUAUUUAGAAGACUUUUGUGUGACUCCUAUGCUGAACAAAAUGUGGAAUCUAAGCUGUUGUUAAAUGCAGAUAAAGGUCAGAGAUCAUGAUCUCUGGAGACAAUUGUUUGCAGUAUUUCCAACUUCUUUUGUGUACAGGAGGCAUGUGCAAUGCAAGAAAGUAGACAAAUCACUGCAAAAUAAGGUUUUCUUGGCAACAGAGAGGAAUUUACUGCGCCUAACAAAGACCAGCAUACGGAUGGAUUUGAAAUUCAGACACAGACAACUGUCGCAAUCAAGAACUGAGAAUAAGCAUUUGUCUUGCGUCUGCUGGCUAGUAGGGCAAGGAUAUAAAGCAACUUUUUUCUAGGAAGUUGCCCCUUUGCCCCUGGAGUACUUUCAUAGGAGUUCACACUUAAAAUCUGUAAAUUUAAUUUUUAGUUAUAAGCAUUUACAGAACCUGUAGUUCAUACAUAUUAACAUAGCAUGUCACGCUCUGUGAUCUGGAGUAUCCCUUCGCCAGUUCAGAUCCACUGUCCUGGACAUGCUCCUCCCCAGCUUCUUGUGUACCUCCCUGAUGGCAGAGCACAUGAAACUGAAAAGUCCUUGACUUAGGAUGGGCACUGCUGAGCAACAACCAAAAGCAUCACAACAUCAAUAUUAUUCUCAUAUUGAAACCGAAAUACAGCACUCGCUGGAUCAGCUACUAUGAAGAAAAUUAACACUGUCCAGGUUAAACCAGGACACUGUGCAGACACUGACAUCUCUCCAGAUUCCAGUGAAAACUAAUAUUGCAUAUAGUAUCUGCUAGUAGUGUGAUUACUGAUCUCUUAGAAGUGGUUCUGCAGACUUUACUCAAGUAAAUAAGCUUUGAGGAUGUAAAUUUACACUUAGAAACAUUACUGACAUCCUCUGUAAGACAGCCUGUGACAUUCUUUCUUAGCUCUCUAGACUGAUUAUCAAGCCCUGAGAUGCUGCGGGGCUUGCGGAUCUUCUCACAAACCAUAAUGGUUAGCAUACUCAUAAAUCUUUGUAAAACAAGGUGUUGAAAGAAGCGAAAAAUAAAAUUGACAUGAAGAUACUGGCUGCACCAGCACUGGGCUCCGAAGUUUGCAAUAGGAACUUGGGCUUGGACACCAAUAACACAUAUUAAAAUGUAUGUUUUAUAAUUUAUUGAAAACAUGCAGUUUUCUCUGGAAACAAUUUGGGGAUAUCUGUUUUCACUGGUUUGGAAAUGUAGCUUUGUUUUUACUCAUUGAUUACCUUGAGAUAUGCCACUCUUCUGAACUAACUACAGUAAUUUUUUUACUUUGUAAAUACUAAGUGCCACCCUGAAAACUCAGCUUUUCAAUCUUGUUGACAUGAUUUCUAAGAACUUUCCCAAGACAGUGACUGUAAGCAUAGAUAAGUAUACAUUCUUUCUGAUACACGUCUUUUGGUGGACGUCUCACACGAACAGUGUGAUUGGAAAGGUGGUAACCUAACUAUCUGAUCCCUGGUCAUUGCCAAAAAUCUAUAAAUACUGAAGCUGUAAGAAUAAAACCAGGUUUUUCCCUGUCACAUGA
Molecule: non-coding RNA, 3391 nt
Organism: Cyanistes caeruleus (blue tit)
Lineage: Eukaryota; Metazoa; Chordata; Aves; Passeriformes; Paridae
Source: RefSeq, a predicted model, not a curated record